CUUGUGGCGUGCUCUAUGGUUAUUGUGUUUUAGGAUAUUUUAAAGAGAAUCUCCCUCUUGACUCUAAAACGGGAAACUCCUCUGCCUCUUUGGACCAGCCUCUUCUUAAAAAAGACGGAUAUGAGUGAAGACAGGACUUUUGGACCUACAGAUUUUUCCAAAAUGCAGCUACCAUGGCUGUGUUUGAGCAAAGGUAUCUUACCCCAACUGAGCCCCAACCCAUUACCCAAUUUUGGUUAUUUUGGGCUCCAGUAACAAGCAUAAAUUGCCUCUAAUGGAAACCUCCAAUGCUCAAUUUUACCUCAAAAUCAUUGAUUAUGUUCAAAGAUUCAAACAUGAACUUUUAUCUGGGAGGGAAUCUGGGAAUUGAGUGAUGUUGGUGUGUGCUACUGUGCAACAAAUAUCUUGCACCUAAAUCAAGAUAAUAAAGUCAGGUUGACCAAAUAUAUUUUGAGUCAAUGUGACAUGUCCAGAAUCUAAAAUAAAUGCUUGUAGCACCAAUGACCGACACAAGCAGUGUUCUCAA
This is a long non-coding RNA of Notolabrus celidotus (New Zealand spotty), 526 nucleotides long. RefSeq lists it as uncharacterized. The transcript has 2 exons. NCBI's taxonomy places the organism in Eukaryota, Metazoa, Chordata, Actinopteri, Labriformes, Labridae. The record is from RefSeq and is a predicted model, not a curated record.